AAGGAAAUUAGAAUUAAGAGUGGCUGCUAACUAACUUUUAAAGCGGUUAAAUUCCGUUUUUUCCUUA
RNAcentral lists this transfer RNA (67 nucleotides) under Cicadetta abscondita. Its description in RNAcentral is "tRNA-Ser". The record is from RNAcentral. Lineage: Eukaryota; Metazoa; Arthropoda; Insecta; Hemiptera; Cicadidae.